UCAGCAGAGGGAAGAUAGCUUAAGUGUCCAGAUUCUGAAAUAUCAUUGCAAAAUGCACAGCUGACAAGGUUCAGGAAGGCUGGAGAAUGAAGACUGCUAAGCAAAAUAUAUCAGCAGACUCCUUCAGAUUAACCUAGCACUCCAUUAAAAGGGUUCCUUGGUUAGUAAAAAGACAUUUCAAAAGAAUUAUUAUUUGGGGAGCUUCACAAUCAAUCAUGCUGAUAGAUGGUUUCAUUUGUCUGAGAGAGGACUGUUUCAGUACUGUGACAGGGCAAAAAGGAACAACAGCAAAUUCGGCUGUGAGCCACUUGGCACAGUGUUUCAGCAUAUGCUGCUCUGCAUCACAGUUUUGGAAGGACAGAAAGCUCUUAGAAAAGUAAGUGGACAGAAUCAAUCUCAUAUGAGGCAGCCAAAGACAUAAAUGCCAUUUUCAUUUGAAGAUUUCUUCUGUAAAAGAAAACUGAUUCUCUCCAUUAGGCAGUAGUCUUUGCUAAUAAAGUAACUCGUUUUGUUCAAGCGUUCAUGGAGUAAUAUUGAAGUGGCAGAUUUCCUUACUGAGAAUGUCCUGAGCAAGUAAGCACUGAAUUAACUACAGUUACAGACUAGGCCACAAACUCUUGUGCACAGAAGGAUUCAGAAUUAAGCUACAUCGCAACUACACAGUUUUCACUCAAUGCAAAUGAUGAUGGUCUUUAGAGAGCAGAUAUUCUUCAUCUGACAAUCUGCUCCAUGGCCUCUGUAAUGCUAGAGACACUGGUCUUUAAUGAAGCCAGUGCCACUAUAGGAUUCAUCUGGAGUGAUGAAGGUCAGCUACAUCACUCUCAACAUGCCUCCUACCAGCACAGGACCCGAAGGGGAAAAACUAAUGGCUCAUCAGUGGCACAGAUGUGCCUGCAGGAAAAUGUCCCUCUGGUUAUUUAUGGUUCAAUAAAGUCAUUUACAGAGUCUCAGUGGAGCCAAAGGGCCAUAACCAGUCUUGAGAAUCUAUUUUCUUCUUUAAUCUCCACAGGAAUUUCCAUAUACUGUAACUACAUUGCAUUCAUAGAAUGUCCCCCUCAAAGAAAAAUCUGUUUCAUCCAAACCCAUUAUUUGAAAGAGGUUUCUGGAGGGGGUUUUCUACAGAAUAUUUCCCACUAAAACAUCAGGGUGAAAUGAAAAAUUGGCAUGUGUUCAGUGUAAUCUACCCAUUUAGUUGGGGCAAAAGAAAGCAGGAACUAUAAAGGAGAAUGAGAUAAAGAGACAGUACCCAAUGCCUUCAAGAGUCAUCAGAAAUAUCUGGUGAAGAUACAGUUUAAUAAUAAUGUUACUCAAGCAAAAUAUUCUAAUGUAUACAAAGGUAUUUUUGAAACAAUUUUCAAUCAGAAGAAAGAAGGUUCUUUAUUUUCUCUUUUGAAGAGAUUGAGGACAAAAGAACAUUAUCUCAGCACUUCCCAUGUGACAAAAUUCCUUUUGCAGAUAGUUUCUGCAAAAGACAAGGAUUUGCCUUUGGAUCCUUGGCAAGGAUUACUCUUUGAUGACUAUAAGCAGAAGUUAAUCAGAAAAGACUAGGUGAACCUUGAGAUGGAUAAAGCUGAGGUAUUCAGAAGAUGCAAAGCAAAGAUGGAAAGAGAACAUAGAGAAGUCAGCAUACAAAUGAAGAGCAGGGCUGGGAAGCAACUGAAAAAAGAUGGUUAAAGCUUAAGUAAACUCUUCCUGCUAGUGGUCUCGAGUAUUUUUUCUGUCCUAAACCUCCAAACAUAAUUUAUUAAGUAUUCUCAUUACAGCUACAUACUAGUCUAGUCCUAGUACAUGAUUUAAUAAUAUUCUUUAAAAAAUUAAUUGCUUAAAUUUCAUAAGACUUUUUCCCCCCUACUUGAACAGUGGAAAAUGAUCAUUCCCUAAAUAGCUUCAUAUAUUUAGGAAACUUUUUACACACAGGUGUACCAUCAUUGAAUUAAUCUAUUUAUCUUCAUAUUAUUUGUCAUACACAAAACAGAGUAUCACUUUUAAAUUGCAAAAUAUAAAAUGUCUGUCUCAAAAGUGUUUUACACAAAUUUAAUCAUCCCUGUCAUAAAGUGAAUCAUCAUUUCCUUCAGCCACCACAUCAUAAGGUUUAUACUAAGAAAUAAAACAUUUUCCUGAUUUCAGUAUGGAUUCUGCAUUAACUUUCUCUAAAAUGUUAAGAUAGAUCCUGACACUUGUGCCAUAUUAUAUAAAGAAAGGAUUUUGAUAUUAUUUAUAAAGUUCUGUAAUUUAAAACACUCUCCAAAUCCUGUGUUGGGUAGUUUUAGCUAACUGUGUUUAACAGAAAAAUGUGAACUCAUAAAUAAAAACAUUUUGGUUUUUUACUAUAUGGUUAAUCCACUUAGUGAGACAGUACUAAGUUGAUCUAUAGUCACAAUGCUCCCCAAAAUAAAACAACAACAAAAUACAGCAAAUAAAACCAAGCAAACAAACAAAAAGAAACAAAAAUCUUCAUAAGCAGGAUAUAUGUGUGCAUAAUACAGAGGAACCAAUAGUUAGUAUUUUAUAUGUAGCACAUAUGUUCAUGAUAAACACUUUCAUUCUCUACAUAAUUUCAAUAAAUCCUGAAGACUAUUGUGAUUUUCUGAAACAGUGAUUAGAUUACUCUAUUGCAAAAAUCAAAAGUAAUUUAAAAAUAUUUUUGAACAUUUGUGUGCAGAUCUGAAAUUUAUGUUUGCAUUUUAACUUAUUAAUUAUUUACUUAUGCAUUCAAAAAUAAAAUAAAAUAUGGAAACUUUAAAAUUGUUAAUGAUGACAAGAAAAUUUAAAGAAAGUCAAAUCUGGAUCUCCUCCAUCAAUGAAAACGGUAAUGAAACUUCUACAUGAUUAAAGCACUACCUUUAAAUAAUGAUGCUUUUCAGAAAAAUGCAUAUUCAUAUUAAUGAAUAAAUUCUUCAUUUAAUAUCUGAUAUAGAUUUUUUUAACCAAAUUUCCUACUGGAAAAUAUUGUGGUAAAUGAUAGAAUUUAGAAAGCUAUGAAAUGGGCAGAAGAAGCGUGUUGAGCAUGAUAGAGAAUAGGAGAGGUUUUUUGUCACCAUUUCUUGUACCACUUAUAUGAUAUCAUAUGGUCUGCUAUUUCAAUAAAAUGAAGGUUCACUGGCCCAAUUCUAAAUACAGAUUUGAAAAACAUAAUGCAAAGUAUAAAAUACUAGUUAAUAUAUUUAUUUAAGGGUACUUUUUAGAAGUUUACACAACAUUACAAUUGUUCAGCACAUGAUAUUUGACAUAAUGACAGGAUAGAUUCCUCAAAUGCAUAAAUCACAAAUGCACUUGCUCAAGGUAGGAUACAUAUUUAUACAGGAAAGUGAAGAGUCAAAAUAAAGACUGUGCCUGUUCACCUUAACUUAUUUUAGCUCUACCCCAAAAUACAUUAACAAGUCAAACAAUCCAACUGCUGAUGAGCAGCUGUGAGUUUCACAAACCGUCUCUGGACUUACUAAACUGGGCAUAAAAUAUUGUGUACACUACUUCUAAACAAAAACGUAGGGGAGUCCAAUUUUAAUUAACAACAUAGCUUUCCUGUAAGCACACUAAAGCAAAUUCUAGCCACAGAAUAACCUUAAAUGAAAUCAAUAAGCAUUAAAAAUUUAUAUAGCUUCCAGGACUGGGGUACUAACAGUCUCAAUUUGGCAAGGCCAGGGUGCUUUGCUGAAUAAGGAAUUCAAGAUAUACAUAAAGUUUAGCUGUAAUAUAUUUUACCAAAUAUGGCCCAUAAUGAUGAAUUAAGUGAAAAUCAAGAAUGUUUCAAUCUUUCAAAACUACUUUUAGCUUAAAAUUAAUUAAAAUUCUUUCACAACAUUGUUAAUGGCACAGAUUUUAAAUUUUAUUUCUUCCCUUGCAAUCUGUUCAGCCAAUCAAUAGACUGGGAUUUUAAUAUUUGGUUCAUGUCUUGUAAAUUGAUCUAUGAAAAAUCAAAAGUGUUAAAGAGAUCAGUUGUAGCCUAAACAAAAAUCAAAUAUUAGCUCCUGAAGAGCAUUAGCUGGGGCUUUCUACGAUAUGAAUUAAAACCUGCAGUACUGAAUUCCUUGUAAGAAAUAUGUGGAUAAAAUUCUUGCACUUUUAUAGUUUCCCUGAACAGUUUUCAUGAAAUCUAGUGCCUAGUCCACAAAGUCCUUCGUCCUUAUUUAAAAUGAAUAUGGAUUUUGACACAUGUUCACAGAUGGUUACCUAGGAAAUUUCAGCAUGCUUUGGACAUAACUGUAAAAAGUUAUUCUUAGAAGCAUUUGCAAUUCUAGGUGGAUGCUACUUGAGAAAUACACAUGCAAAAAGGUGAAAAGACUAGCUUUUCUCACCAUGGAUGUGUCAGUGUCUCCAUUACCCAGAUCAAAUUUAGCUAUACUUUGCAUAAAGAGGAAGGGUGAUUUACCUUGGGUCAAAGAGUCAGUGCUCAGUAAAAGGAUAAAAUUUUCAGUGACCUUAUCUCUUGCUGGCACUUGUCAUUGUGGGGAUCAAUUUAACUUUACAGCAUUCAAAGCAUCUUUAAUUCCCUUUUGCUGCCGCAGCACAACUCCACACAAUUCUUUCAUUGAGUGCUCUUAGGUCCCCAGUGGGCACUUAAAACUCCCAGGAUAAUUGUGUAAUAGAAUACAGUCUGAAUGGCUGCAACCUACUGCCUUUCUGGCACUCCACAACAAAAACAAAUCAAAACAAAUCCCCAGCAUCCAAAAACCUCCUUCACUCUUCUACCCUGUAAAGCAUGAUCAUAGGAGACUUCAUGGGGUUUUUUAUGAGGAAAAAAAUGGAAAAGUGUGAGUAGUGUAAAUAUCUAUGGAAUGCUAACAAAAAUCAGAAAAAAAAAGAGUUUGCCACCAGUAUUCAGUACAAAAUUGAAUUCAUUGCAUACAGAGUAAAGACUGAUUUAAAGUCACUCAUAAAAGCAACAUUAAGGAGAAAUCUAGGUGUUCAGACAAGAAGUUCUGAUGUAAUAUAAAAUUGUAUACAAGGUUAUACCAUCCAAAGUUUCAGUUUUUAAUAUAUGGGAUUUUUUAUCUCAUCUGGAAAAUCUGGCAAACAGAAUUAGAUAUGCAAGCCAUCUACUCAACAUAUCCUCAAAGUCAAACAGAAUAACUAGUUACAGCAGUUCUUCAUCAUAUACUCUUUUAAAAAGUUACUUCUUAUUUAUUAUUUUUAUUGCAUACAGGUGUUUGCUGGUAUACAACAGCAAAUUGAAUAUGUUUUAUAAAAACAAUUAUAGCCCUUAAAUAUUUUUGAGUAAUUAAUAACAAUUUCAUCCAUCUUGUUUGCAACCUAAAAUGUCGGAUUUCCAGGAGAAGCUGAAGGAGAGAUGAUGAACCCUUUAGUUCUAAAAAAAAAAAACCCUACAAAAAAGUCCUUAUUUUGUCAUUUAAAUUAUUUAGGUCAGGGGCUUAACACUAAUAAAUUGUUCAGUAAAAUGUGCACAAUUAAAUGGCAUUUAGAAUAUUUUAAAUAUGUAUUUUCAAGCUUUCUUUUAAGAAGGUGUAGUCGCAGAAAAACAGGGCUAGCAAGCUAAGUCACUUUAAUGCUUUAAAAUUAUUAUCUUCAAAGGGAGGCAGAAGCCCUAAAUAAGGCAAUAUGAUGUUUUAUCUGAUUUGAUUCCAAACCUCAAGGUGUGUAUGUUCUCAUGCUGCACCCAGAAAUUUUGCAAACAUGAAUUUAUUUCCCACAUUCAGUGAGGCUGCUCAAGCAUUUAACUACAUAUUUACAUGUUUUUUGAGGAAAACAUAUAAAUCAUCCAUCCACUGUUAGGUGACAGGAAAAUUAAAGGAAAUGUUACUGGUUUAGUAUCUAUAUGUGUGUGUGUAUGUAUAUAAAUUUGUUUACUUUUUUCACCUCAACCCCCAGUUCAGAGACUUAAACCAAUUCAGGGACCGAAAUGGGUAUGAAAGGUGUGUUACAGAGACAGCUAGACCCUGAAUCAGCAGGUUACACAUCACUGUACUGCAAUCUAGAUGAGCUUUCAAGAUUAAGACAUUUCUCUAACUAACAAGAAUAACUAAUGUACUGAUUGUGGUGUUUUAAAGUACACAGUCUUGUCUUUAAGUAUCUAAUUACUGCACAUGUUUUGAGAUAAACCUGAAAGUAUAAAUCAUGUGCUAUUUCCGUCUAAAAGUCCAGCUCUUCUAUUUGGGGCUGAGAACAAUCUCUCCUUACAGCAAUUAUUCUGGCUAAACCCUCUUGUUAAAGAGAUAGAUGACCCAGACCCCUUAAAGUGUUCUUAAUCUUAUGGGUGGAAUUACAAGGAAAAUAGUGAAUUUUCAAUACUGAUUAUAGAGAGUGUGUCUUUCAAUAAGGGAAAAUGUAUAAAAUCAAUCCUUGUUGUCUGUCUUUUAUAGUGUAUCAAAUAUUACACAGAAGACUUUUUUUACAUGCAACAUAUAUCAAAAACAGCAGCUUAAUAAAUUCGUGAGGCACCUUGAUCAGAAGGCAAGUAAGGAAUAUGAAUGCCACUGCUAAGAAAACAAAACCUGCUUGGUACUAAAUAUAUCUCAUCCCAAUAAAAGAAAUCCAGGAAAACUUCAGAAAGACAAACAAACAAAAACAACCCACAGACUUAAAAAAUAUGUAUAAGAUUUCUGUCUUUUCAGAGUAUAAAAAGAGCAGCCUCUGAAUGCAUUACUGGAAUUCAGAAAUGGCAUUCUCCCCCUGCAGGUGCAUUACAUAGAGGUCAGUAUAACCCCAUAGCCCACUAAAUACAGUAUUGCUAAGAACAGGCCAUAUGUUUUGUACUGAUGUUGCAAGGCCUCAGAAAUUAGCUUUGUCGGAAUUACUUUGUACUUUUCUUGACCUGCUUGGAACUUUGGUUUAGAUUGUUUAGCUAUAAAAGACUGAUUAAGUGUCUAUGACUAGUUUGCUUUAUUUUUGUACAACUGUAUUAUAUAACUGUAAUCCUGUAUAUACUUUUGCAACAAGUAGAACAAAAUAUUCAUGGCUCUAACAUAAUAGUGUAAAGCAGAGAAAUACAAACUUGGCAUGACAGUGGAGGCUUUAAAAGCAGCUUGAAAACUGUGUGAAAUGUAGAGGAACCCAGGCAUGGGAUGGUAAGAUAAGUGACCCAGGGUUGGCUCUAGAGAGCCUUGACUUGUAAACUCAACUGUGGACAAUUAAAGGAAUGCAGGGUAACAAGGAGAAAAGCAAGAAGUAUCCAGUAUAUGCAACAAGCUUUCUAUGUAGUAAAUUCAGCUUUAACAUGGACCUACAGAUCUGCAAAGAAAGAGCAAAGUUUGCAUGGUGUGUUAGAAGAACAUAGAAAUUACCCUAAGCAGCUCCUACCAAGAGGGAGAGGCAGUUACCAUUAAAGUCAUAUUGCUCUUGUCAAUGCACUCAGGAUCCUGAAAACUUGCAUGUCCAGCUGAAAAUGUCAACUGCAAGAAGCCAAGGAGCAGUAGAAAGGUGAUAUAAAUGCAAGGAAAGGCAUAGAUAAAAAGAAGUCCAUAUUUAAGCUUAAGUUUAGAUCCCUGAAAAAUGGUACUGAAAGAUUUGUUAGUGUCUCAACAUAAGGAAAUAACCUUCUAGUUCAGUUAAACUCAUGCAGCCUGAUGUUCAUUUGGAACAGUUUCCCCCACAAUCUUCCACACACUAUUUUUCCUUCUACAUACCCUUAUUUCUGGUUUGCAUGUACCAACAUUUACAUUAAAAAAAAAAAAAAAAAUCCACAGGGCUGUAUAUAUUUGUACAGGAAUUUGAAGAAAAAAGACUUUUAUGCUUUGCUGUCUACUUUUAAGAUAUUUAAUCCUAACAGAAUUUUAUUGGAAUAAAAAUUUUUAUUUCAAUAUCAAGUAACAUGGAAUGGAAGAAACACUUGAUAUAAUGCAUUUAUUGCUAUAACAACAUACUCUGACAAGACUUCAUUAUACUUCAGGCUAUCAACUGCAGCAUCUGUUCACAUAUCCCUUAAACUGUGAAGUGGGCAAUGUAUCAGCACAAAGUGCGUUCUAAAACAUCAGAGUGAUACUAGGAUCAUCCCUUCUCAAGUGAUAAUGAUAAUUUAGCCAAACAUUUGCAUAUGGCCUUUCAAAAAAAAGAAAAAAAGGGAGCAAAAACCCCACACAUUACCAGAAUAUAUUGGCUGCUACCUGCAAAAAAAGUAACAUGCAAGUAAAAACAUUAGAAGAGACUACACAGAAUGUGGUUUCUCCAUGGAAAUAUUUCUGCAGGACAAGCAGCCUAUAGGCAAAGUAGGCGAAGCUAUUCUAGCACCAGGUAAAAAAAUUCAAAGCUGAAGGCAUCCGUAAAGCUAUUCAUUUUCACUUUUUUUCACACAUAUUACAGCUACUUCAAGCAGAUCUCAAAAUCUGAAAGACUAUGGCCUUUGAUUGAAACAAGUGCUAUUUCCUUACUAACUGUGCUAAUUCAGCGAAGUGGUAAAGCUGAGCUGAAUCAUCAUGCAAAUCUGUGAGAAGCUUUAAAAUACUAGCUGCAAAAUGAAAACAUUUUGUAUUUAUUCAUAAAGCCAAGAGACUAAAAAUCUGAAUCUUCUUUAUGUCUGCUGAACUUUGGAAUAAAUUACAGAGCAAGAAUAAUAAUAUUAAAAAUUUAAAAAUAAACUCCAAAGCUAGUAUGGUCACAACCAUUUGGAAUAGAAUUGGCUAUCUUUUAUGUCACAUUAUUAUAAUGUGCAGAGAGCACACAUUUCCUGAUAGAGCCAUCAGUUGUGUUUAUGUUCCAGUACAAGACAUGCACAGCAUACUUCCUUAAAAAGUAGCAUGUAAGAGAAACAAGCACACAGUCUGCAUCAGAAUUCUAGCUGCAGAGGACCCUAAAAAUAUCUACAAUUGCACUUCUACCUUCAGUGUAAGUAGAAGUGCAAUUGGACUGUAGGUCCAUGUUCAGUUUUCAAUCUCCUAUAAAUCAAAACACCUGAAUAAUAACAUGAAGUUAGCCACUAUUCUGAAACCCAUUGACCACCUUUUCUCACAAGAGAGUAAAUGUGAUAGAAGCUACACAACCACAUUCAAGUGUUGUCCCAAAACAGACUACUACAUGCAACCAGCAAGCUCCAAAGAAGUUCUGCAACUUUCAAAGCAUGCAAAACACUGAAAAACACCCUCAGCCUUCCAAAUGUCAGAGAGCAUCCAGGCAUAACUCCAGAGACAAGAUAUCCUUGUUGAACAUACUGCUCCAGAAAACGAUUCAGAGGAGGAACUUAACCUGUCUUCUUCCUGAAACUGAUCCACGUAAUUCCUUCUUCACUAACAGUACAAAGACAUAAGCCUUCCUUGACUUUUGUUCCUAGAACUAUAUUUUGUAUGAAUAGGCUCUGCUUCAGUAGGGAAAUAUGCCCAGAAUAUUCAAGGUAAGCAUCUUCCAUUGCUGCAAAUUGUUGGCCCAAAAGUCUUGACUGACCAGAAGGCACUAUGAUUACACACCAGCAUUUCAAGGUUUGUACUUGCAUACUCAGGUGCUGAGCAGGCUGGAAACAAUGAGGCUGCAUACGUCUGAUCGCAAUUGGCCCCAAACUCCUCAGUCUGCCCUUUCCGGUGUGCUAUAUGUCUCACUGAAUACUCAAAAUCAAGAAUCAAAACAGUACAACAGAGGAGGGAGAAAGUAAUUGUACCCAAAUUUUUUUUAAAGGAAAUUAAAUUAAAAUGUGGUGAGAGUUGAUGUAAAUGAGUUGUCAUCUACAGGAGGACUCAUUACUUCAGUAAGCCUAAGGACAAGAAGCUUAAGGACAUCUAUGGCCUAUAUUUUCUGCAAUGCUGAGAGUGGGAUUGAGUGCAAGUUUGCUGAUGACACCAAGGUGUGUGGUCUGGUUGAGAUGCUGGAAGGAAUGGAUGAUGUCCAGAUGGACCUUGACAGGCAGAAGUUGGCCCAUGUGAACUUCAUGAAGUUGAACAAGGCAAAGUGCAAGGCGUUGCAUCUGGGUUGGAGCAAUUCCAAGCUCAAAGAGAUAGAGGGGGUGAGAAUGGAUGGAGAGAAGCCCAGAGAAGAUGGACGUGUGGGUGUUGGUUGAUGAGAGGCUCAAUAUGAGCUGGCAAUGUGUUUUCAGCUCAGAAAACUAAUCAUGUCCUUGGGUGCAUCAAAAGUAACAUGGCUAGCAGGGUGAGGGAGGUAUUCUUCUCUCUCUCCUCUUCUCUUCUGAGACCCCACUGGGAAUGCUGUAUCCAGCUCUGGGUUCCCCAGCAAAAGAAGGAUGUGAACCUGCUGAAGCAAGAUCAGAGGAGGGUCACGAAAGAUGAUCAGAAAGCUGGAACCCCUCAUUUUGGAGGACAGGCUGAGGGAGUUGGGGUUUUUCAGCCUGGAGAAGAGUGGGCUCCAAGGAGACCUUUUAGCACCUUUCCACUACCUUAGGGGGACAUACAAGAAUGCUGGAGGGACUUGUUACAAGGACAUAUACCGAUAAGACAAGGGGCAAUGUUUUUAAACUCAAAGAGGAUAGGUUUAGAUAGAUACUUUACUGUGAGGGUAAUGGAACAGAUUUCCCAGAAAAGCUGUGAAUGCCCCAUUCCUGAAAGUGUUCAAGGCCAUUGGAUGGGGAUUGAGACACCUGGUCUAGUGGAAACUCUCCCUGCCCAUGGCAGAGUUGUUGGAAGGAGAUGAUCUUUAAGGUCCCUUCCAAGCCAAAGAGUUCUAUGAUUCUAUGAUCAAAGGCAUUGGAGGUCCAAAAUCUAUUGGCUGCAAAAAGCCUGGAAAACUAAACACAUCUCUGAAAUUCCAUUUGUAUUGUGUAUAGGUGGCAAGAUUUUGAGCAACAUGAAAGCUACAGGGAUGGCUGCUUUGGCAGGAGAAUAAAAUGAGUCUUGUCCCAGACUCAGCUGGUUUCAGUCUUCUCCACAAUGGACCCACAACAGGACAAACUGGAGAUUGUUGGUUAUUUGUGCAUUUCCUCUGGCAGAGCAUAUUUAAAGAGAGAGGAGAAAGGAGAAAGUGUGAGAAAUGAUCCUGCAAGAAACAAGGUUUCUCAAGGAGGGUGAAGAUGUGCUCCAGGUGACGUACCAGACAUUCCCUUGUAACUCUUGGUGAAGCAAUUUAUUUCCCUACAACCCAAGUACUUGACCACAUUGGAAUAAAUAUUCAUCUUGCAGCCCUCAAAGGACCGAGCUCUGGCAUGUUGUUAUUUCCUUUUAAGAUUAAGAUAUAAAAUAAUGUAUAUUUUGUGUAUAUAUUUUCAGAUUCCCAGACCUACUAUUUAUUAGUCAUAAUGUGUCAGAAUGGGAAAAGUUGCUUUCUAAUGCAAGAUUCAUGAUGGUUUUUGAGUUAAAUUAUUAUACUUCCUCGAGUUCUGAAUGACACAGAUAUAUAGCACAAGUUUAGGAAGAUUAACUUGCUAUCAAAUAUCAUACUCUAAUUCAAAAAUUUAUAUAUUAGGAGAUUAGAGGAUUGGACUCAAGUCAAAAGGAAGAGAUAGCACUACUAUUAUAUGUAUUUUAUGAAGAAUUGCCUUUAGAUUUUUCACAUUCUUUAUGUUUAUUUAAAUAACAUAAUUUCUGUACAUAGAUGUACAAAUGUGAACAGGUAUAGAUACACAAGAGAAAUGCUUUCAUGCAUUAAAAGUAUUCACAUGUGUCUAGCCCUUGACACAUGGUGUUGCAUGUCGGGUGCUGUCGCGUGCUGUCACAUACUGUGCAUCUGGAUUUCAGAUUACAGCAAGCACUUUUGAUUAUUUGCAUGUAAAAAACUAUAUUUGGCAGUACAUUUUAACUUCUUAUAGUUAAGUGAGGCUCAGGUGAGAGAUUUUUCUGAAUGCUAAGAUGCCAUUGAAAAUGUUAGUUCUCAACAAUAAAGAGAUUGACCCUUGA
Passer montanus (Eurasian tree sparrow) is the source of this 11720-nucleotide long non-coding RNA. RefSeq lists it as uncharacterized. The record is from RefSeq and is a predicted model, not a curated record. The transcript has 3 exons. NCBI's taxonomy places the organism in Eukaryota, Metazoa, Chordata, Aves, Passeriformes, Passeridae.